Misgurnus anguillicaudatus (oriental weatherfish) is the source of this 1276-nucleotide non-coding RNA. NCBI's taxonomy places the organism in Eukaryota, Metazoa, Chordata, Actinopteri, Cypriniformes, Cobitidae. The record is from RefSeq and is a predicted model, not a curated record.
CACCCAGUAUAAUACUGUAAACUAUUUAUACAGUACAUAACUGUAAUUCGCGUUGCAUUUUGGGAAUUUUCUGUGACAUCAUACGUAAUUUACUGUAUUUUUGAAAAUUGCUGUAUGCUACUGUAUAUUUUCUAACAGUCUUUUGGCGGUAUUUUCCUUAUUCACACAAAUCCUUAUUUUAUUUUUCUCAAAAUCAUCAUUUUUGACAAUUGUAUACACACAGGCGUUGACUUAUUUUAGCUAAGGAACCAUGUAGCAGCACAGGUGUUCAGAGGACCGAUUUCAGGUGUGCACAUAAACUGAAGAGUUUUCAAACAAGACUUUCCCUGGGACAGCACAGCGGCGCUUUUCAGUUGAAGAUACACGAGAGGAGAGAAUGAAAAAAGACCAGCAAGGAUAAAUUAAGGAGGGUGUAACAAAAUACACUGCAAGAACUGGAAUGAGAGACAAGUGAGGAUGAAGAGGACAACAGAAUAUCCAUCCUUUCUUCACCACCUCAUAGAGUUUGAGUGAAACAACUUGUAUGAGGACUCACAGGAUUAUUUUAUAACAAGACUGAUUAUCUUAUACCAGAAGUUUGGUAUUUUUUUUUGAAGCUACUGUAUUAUUUCUUAUGACAAUUCAUUUUGAUGUGCAUUCAGAACUGUAAGUUGGUAAGUACAUUUACUGUAUUUACUGUAAGUAAAGGCUAAAGAGUAUAUCUCCUCUAGUUCUAAGUUCUAGUUCUAAGUUCUAACAACGUUCCCAAAGGUCCCAAUAAUGUUAAGCCAACAUAAAAGUGUCCAGUUUUUAAAUUGUUUAGGAAUGUUUCUUGAUUGUGCAAAUGUUAGAGGAAUGUUGCAUUUUAUUUUUAGACAAUGUCAUGUUUAAAUGUACUCACAAUGUUUAAAACACAUGUCUAAUAUAUUUUAUGAAUGUUUAUAUGCAAUAUUUUAACAGAACAUUAAGAAAUAAUGUUUUACAACAGUUUGUAAAUAAUAGAAUGUAAUGUUUUUUAUCAUUACAAGCAAAAACAUUCAUAACGUUAUUGGGAACUUUGGGAACUUUCAAGGAACGUUCUUAGAACCUUUCUCUGUGGUUGAGCAUUGUGUUAGCAUCAUAAAACGCCAUAGGUUCGAACAAGGAAAGCACAUGCUGAUAAAAAAUUUAUACUUUGCAUUGCACUGUAUGUUAUUUGCCUUUUUCUGUAAAUGUGAAGAUAAAUGUAAAGACAGACAGUCAUUGUUUCAUUUUAAACCAGUUCUAUUUUAAGAGAACUUAACUAGACUAAAUAAAA